RNAcentral lists this ribosomal RNA (254 nucleotides) under uncultured bacterium. Its description in RNAcentral is "partial 16S ribosomal RNA". It matches the Rfam family "Bacterial small subunit ribosomal RNA", at positions 524 to 776 of the family's 1533-position model. The record is from RNAcentral.
UACGUAGGUGGCAAGCGUUAUCCGGAAUUAUUGGGCGUAAAGCGCGCGCAGGUGGUUUCUUAAGUCUGAUGUGAAAGCCCGGGGCUCAACCCCGGAGGGUCCGCGGAGACUGGAGGACUGGAGGGUCGGAGAGGAGUGCGGAAUUCCUGGUGUAGCGGUGGAAUGCGUAGAGAUCAGGAGGAACACCGAUGGCGAAGGCAGCACUCUGGCCGAAGUCCUGACGCUGAGGCGCGAAAGCUGGGGGAGCGAACGGG